Molecule: long non-coding RNA, 908 nt
Organism: Betta splendens (Siamese fighting fish)
Lineage: Eukaryota; Metazoa; Chordata; Actinopteri; Anabantiformes; Osphronemidae
Exons: 4
Source: RefSeq, a predicted model, not a curated record
AGUGCAACACCAGAAAACAUGGCCCGAGGCACAGGAUGGGUGUUGGAAACACAACUGUCCUGGAAUUUAAUACGGCAAAAAUAAAAUAACCACAACUGAGAUCUGCAUUCAACUGGCACGGUGACGUUCAAGCUGCUCACUUUAAUCCUCCUGCUACUGCGCUGCUGUCAGCUUCACCUACACACCGUAAGUCACAGCUCCCACAACUUCCUGCUCCGGUUCCCCUCUGAUCUACUGCUGUCUCCCAUCUGAUCAAUCCCUGACUGACAACGGACGGAAGAUGCUGCUCUGUGUGCAAAAUGGUGCCAAAGUGUGACGGGGCGCACUCCGGGGUCCCGACCCUCCAGCCUGGAUGACACGUAACGGCAGGAAACGAGACGGGAAGCGGCAGGAGGGGAGAAAUCAGCGCGGCGCGGACGCCGGAGCCUCCGAGCCCCUGACGAAUCACCGCCGCGCCACCUGAACACGCCUGUGUUCGUGCGAGACGUGCGCGCAUCCGGAGCCCAGCUGUGAGCGGGGCUGCCCCCGCUUUUUGUCUGGAAAAAGCCCCCGCUGGCCGCCGCGGUGCACGCACGGGGACGGGGGGAACGCGCGGACGGGCGGGCGGACGGACCUUUGCACCCGCCACGGCGGCGCAGAGGGGUGGUUUCGGCCACUGCACCACAGCCUGUCUGCGAGGAAUACCAAUGACCCGCGGCUCCGGCACCGACGGCGCUUUUUACCGUUCGGUCCGCGAAAUGUUCCCCGAAAAAAAAGCCCAACUCCAGCGCCUCACACCCCCCGAGCGCUGCAUCCGCGUUAACCCCAUUGUCUGUGUCACCCCCUCGUUCCACGCUAAGCUAGCCGAGCUAACGGCGGGCUGUUCCCACUCAAUCCGCCCCGGAGACGGAUCGAUACUCACCCGCGUU